RNAcentral lists this ribosomal RNA (277 nucleotides) under uncultured eukaryote. RNAcentral's name for it is "partial 18S ribosomal RNA". It matches the Rfam family "Eukaryotic small subunit ribosomal RNA", at positions 21 to 311 of the family's 1831-position model. The record is from RNAcentral.
UAGUCAUAUGCUUGUCUCAAAGAUUAAGCCAUGCAUGUCUCAGUGUAAACUUUUAAACAGUGAAACUGCGAAUGGCUCAUUAAAACAGUUAUAGUUUAUUUGAUAGUCAACUUUACAUGGAUAACCGUGGGAAUUCUAGGGCUAAUACAUGCGUAAACCCGCAAGGGAUGUGUUUAUUAGUAUUAAAACCAUCACUGUAGCAAUACAGUACCAUUGGAAUGAUAAUAACCGUUCGGACCGCACGCAUUUGUGGCGGUAGAUCAUUCAAGUUUCUGAC